This 30-nucleotide non-coding RNA is filed under the name Mus musculus (house mouse). The record is from RNAcentral. Lineage: Eukaryota; Metazoa; Chordata; Mammalia; Rodentia; Muridae.
UGGAAUAAACUUGGAAGUUAUUGUACAUGC